GCCCCCAUCGUCUAGAGGCCCAGGAUACCGGAUUCUCAGUCCGAGGACCGGGGUUCGAAUCCCCGUGGGGGUA
This 73-nucleotide transfer RNA is filed under the name Planctomyces sp. SCGC AG-212-M04. It matches the Rfam family "tRNA". From Rfam's summary of the family: Transfer RNA (tRNA) molecules are approximately 80 nucleotides in length. Lineage: Bacteria; Pseudomonadati; Planctomycetota; Planctomycetia; Planctomycetales; Planctomycetaceae. The record is from Rfam by way of RNAcentral. RNAcentral also lists the same sequence under 3 other names.